GUGAAGGGUGGGCGUGUAAGAGGACGCUAAAGGCACGUCUCUAGCAGGUGCCAGUCGCCAAUGAGGUGAAGGGUGGGCGUGUAAUAGGACGCUAAAGGCACACCCCUAGCAGGUACCAGUCGCCAAUGAGUGAAGGGUGAGCGUGUAGGAGGUGAAGAGAAAAACGUGAGUACAUUGUAAAAUGGCUACAUAAAGUACAACCGAACUCA
This is a long non-coding RNA of Hippocampus zosterae (dwarf seahorse), 209 nucleotides long. RefSeq lists it as uncharacterized. The transcript is spliced from 2 exons. Lineage: Eukaryota; Metazoa; Chordata; Actinopteri; Syngnathiformes; Syngnathidae. The record is from RefSeq and is a predicted model, not a curated record.